GGGUUGUGAGGUUAAGCGACUAAGCGUACACGGUGGAUGCCCUGGCAGUCAGAGGCGAUGAAGGACGUGCUAAUCUGCGAUAAGCGUCGGUAAGGUGAUAUGAACCGUUAUAACCGGCGAUUUCCGAAUGGGGAAACCCAGUGUGUUUCGACACACUAUCAUUAACUGAAUCCAUAGGUUAAUGAGGCGAACCGGGGGAACUGAAACAUCUAAGUACCCCGAGGAAAAGAAAUCAACCGAGAUUCCCCCAGUAGCGGCGAGCGAACGGGGAGCAGCCCAGAGUCUGAAUCAGUGUGUGUGUUAGUGGAAGCGUCUGGAAAGGCGCGCGAUACAGGGUGACAGCCCCGUACACAAAAAUGCACAUGCUGUGAGCUCGAUGAGUAGGGCGGGACACGUGGUAUCCUGUCUGAAUAUGGGGGGACCAUCCUCCAAGGCUAAAUACUCCUGACUGACCGAUAGUGAACCAGUACCGUGAGGGAAAGGCGAAAAGAACCCCGGCGAGGGGAGUGAAAAAGAACCUGAAACCGUGUACGUACAAGCAGUGGGAGCACGCUUAGGCGUGUGACUGCGUACCUUUUGUAUAAUGGGUCAGCGACUUAUAUUCUGUAGCAAGGUUAACCGAAUAGGGGAGCCGAAGGGAAACCGAGUCUUAACUGGGCGUUAAGUUGCAGGGUAUAGACCCGAAACCCGGUGAUCUAGCCAUGGGCAGGUUGAAGGUUGGGUAACACUAACUGGAGGACCGAACCGACUAAUGUUGAAAAAUUAGCGGAUGACUUGUGGCUGGGGGUGAAAGGCCAAUCAAACCGGGAGAUAGCUGGUUCUCCCCGAAAGCUAUUUAGGUAGCGCCUCGUGAAUUCAUCUCCGGGGGUAGAGCACUGUUUCGGCAAGGGGGUCAUCCCGACUUACCAACCCGAUGCAAACUGCGAAUACCGGAGAAUGUUAUCACGGGAGACACACGGCGGGUGCUAACGUCCGUCGUGAAGAGGGAAACAACCCAGACCGCCAGCUAAGGUCCCAAAGUCAUGGUUAAGUGGGAAACGAUGUGGGAAGGCCCAGACAGCCAGGAUGUUGGCUUAGAAGCAGCCAUCAUUUAAAGAAAGCGUAAUAGCUCACUGGUCGAGUCGGCCUGCGCGGAAGAUGUAACGGGGCUAAACCAUGCACCGAAGCUGCGGCAGCGACGCUUAUGCGUUGUUGGGUAGGGGAGCGUUCUGUAAGCCUGCGAAGGUGUGCUGUGAGGCAUGCUGGAGGUAUCAGAAGUGCGAAUGCUGACAUAAGUAACGAUAAAGCGGGUGAAAAGCCCGCUCGCCGGAAGACCAAGGGUUCCUGUCCAACGUUAAUCGGGGCAGGGUGAGUCGACCCCUAAGGCGAGGCCGAAAGGCGUAGUCGAUGGGAAACAGGUUAAUAUUCCUGUACUUGGUGUUACUGCGAAGGGGGGACGGAGAAGGCUAUGUUGGCCGGGCGACGGUUGUCCCGGUUUAAGCGUGUAGGCUGGUUUUCCAGGCAAAUCCGGAAAAUCAAGGCUGAGGCGUGAUGACGAGGCACUACGGUGCUGAAGCAACAAAUGCCCUGCUUCCAGGAAAAGCCUCUAAGCAUCAGGUAACAUCAAAUCGUACCCCAAACCGACACAGGUGGUCAGGUAGAGAAUACCAAGGCGCUUGAGAGAACUCGGGUGAAGGAACUAGGCAAAAUGGUGCCGUAACUUCGGGAGAAGGCACGCUGAUAUGUAGGUGAAGUCCCUCGCGGAUGGAGCUGAAAUCAGUCGAAGAUACCAGCUGGCUGCAACUGUUUAUUAAAAACACAGCACUGUGCAAACACGAAAGUGGACGUAUACGGUGUGACGCCUGCCCGGUGCCGGAAGGUUAAUUGAUGGGGUUAGCGCAAGCGAAGCUCUUGAUCGAAGCCCCGGUAAACGGCGGCCGUAACUAUAACGGUCCUAAGGUAGCGAAAUUCCUUGUCGGGUAAGUUCCGACCUGCACGAAUGGCGUAAUGAUGGCCAGGCUGUCUCCACCCGAGACUCAGUGAAAUUGAACUCGCUGUGAAGAUGCAGUGUACCCGCGGCAAGACGGAAAGACCCCGUGAACCUUUACUAUAGCUUGACACUGAACAUUGAGCCUUGAUGUGUAGGAUAGGUGGGAGGCUUUGAAGUGUGGACGCCAGUCUGCAUGGAGCCGACCUUGAAAUACCACCCUUUAAUGUUUGAUGUUCUAACGUUGACCCGUGAUCCGGGUUGCGGACAGUGUCUGGUGGGUAGUUUGACUGGGGCGGUCUCCUCCUAAAGAGUAACGGAGGAGCACGAAGGUUGGCUAAUCCUGGUCGGACAUCAGGAGGUUAGUGCAAUGGCAUAAGCCAGCUUGACUGCGAGCGUGACGGCGCGAGCAGGUGCGAAAGCAGGUCAUAGUGAUCCGGUGGUUCUGAAUGGAAGGGCCAUCGCUCAACGGAUAAAAGGUACUCCGGGGAUAACAGGCUGAUACCGCCCAAGAGUUCAUAUCGACGGCGGUGUUUGGCACCUCGAUGUCGGCUCAUCACAUCCUGGGGCUGAAGUAGGUCCCAAGGGUAUGGCUGUUCGCCAUUUAAAGUGGUACGCGAGCUGGGUUUAGAACGUCGUGAGACAGUUCGGUCCCUAUCUGCCGUGGGCGCUGGAGAACUGAGGGGGGCUGCUCCUAGUACGAGAGGACCGGAGUGGACGCAUCACUGGUGUUCGGGUUGUCAUGCCAAUGGCACUGCCCGGUAGCUAAAUGCGGAAGAGAUAAGUGCUGAAAGCAUCUAAGCACGAAACUUGCCCCGAGAUGAGUUCUCCCUGACCCUUUAAGGGUCCUGAAGGAACGUUGAAGACGACGACGUUGAUAGGCCGGGUGUGUAAGCGCAGCGAUGCGUUGAGCUAACCGGUACUAAUGAACCGUGAGGCUUAACCUUACAACGCCGAAG
This 2925-nucleotide ribosomal RNA is filed under the name Escherichia coli. RNAcentral's name for it is "23S ribosomal RNA". It matches the Rfam family "Bacterial large subunit ribosomal RNA". The record is from RNAcentral. Lineage: Bacteria; Pseudomonadati; Pseudomonadota; Gammaproteobacteria; Enterobacterales; Enterobacteriaceae.